AGACGAACCGUCCAAACGUUAUUCGGUAUCACUGGGCUUAAAGCGUGCGUAGGCGGUCUAGUAGGUGAGAUGUGAAAGCCCACGGCUCAACCGUGGAAUUGCGUUUCAAACCACUAGGCUUGAGGAUGGCAGGGGUGAUGGGAACUGAUGGUGGAGCGGUGAAAUGCAUUGAUAUCAUCAGGAACACCGGUGGCGAAGGCGCAUCACUGGGCCAUUUCUGACGCUGAGGCACGAAAGCUAGGGUAGCGAACGGGAUUAGAUACCCCGGUAGUCCUAGCCGUAAACGAUGAGCACUGGGUUGAGGGGACUUCCACAUCCUCUCGGCCGUAGCGAAAGCGUUAAGUGCUCCGCCUGGGGAGUAUGGUCGCAAGGCUGAA
RNAcentral lists this ribosomal RNA (377 nucleotides) under uncultured bacterium. RNAcentral's name for it is "bacterial SSU rRNA". It matches the Rfam family "Bacterial small subunit ribosomal RNA", at positions 523 to 898 of the family's 1533-position model. The record is from RNAcentral.